Molecule: ribosomal RNA, 254 nt
Filed under: uncultured bacterium
Lineage: Bacteria
Description: partial 16S ribosomal RNA
Rfam family: Bacterial small subunit ribosomal RNA
Source: RNAcentral
UACGGGGGGAGCAAGCGUUGUUCGGAUUUACUGGGCGUAAAGGGCGCGUAGGCGGCCACUGCAAGUCGGUUGUGAAAUCUCCGGGCUUAACCCGGAAAGGUCAGCCGAUACUGCAGGGCUAGAGUGCAGAAGGGGCAACUGGAAUUCUCGGUGUAGCGGUGAAAUGCGUAGAUAUCAAGAGGAACACCUGAGGUGAAGACGGGUUGCUGGGCUGAUACUGACGCUGAAGCGCGAAAGCUAGGGUAGCAAACGGG